ACGGAAGGCAGCAGUGGGGAAUAUUGCACAAUGGGCGCAAGCCUGAUGCAGCGAUGCCGCGUGAGGGAAGAAGGUUUUCGGAUUGUAAACCUCUGUCAUCGGGGACGAUAAUGACUGUACCCGAGAAGGAAGCUCCGGCUAACUACGUGCCAGCAGCCGCGGUAAUACGUAGGGAGCGAGCGUUAUCCGGAAUUACUGGGUGUAAAGGGAGUGUAGGCGGGACUGUAGGUCAGAUGUGAAAUAUGCCGGCUCAACUGGCAGACUGCAUUUGAAACUGCGGUUCUUGAGUGAAGUAGAGGUAAGAGGAAUGCCUAGUGUAGCGGUGAAAUGCGUAGAUAUUAGGAAGAACAUCAGUGGCGAAGGCAGCUUACUGAGCUUUAACUGACGCUGAGGCUCGAAAGCGUGGGGAGCAAACAGGAUUAGAUACCCUGGUA
This 434-nucleotide ribosomal RNA is filed under the name uncultured Ruminococcus sp. RNAcentral's name for it is "partial 16S ribosomal RNA". It matches the Rfam family "Bacterial small subunit ribosomal RNA", at positions 341 to 792 of the family's 1533-position model. Lineage: Bacteria; Bacillati; Bacillota; Clostridia; Eubacteriales; Oscillospiraceae. The record is from RNAcentral.